Dalotia coriaria is the source of this 656-nucleotide long non-coding RNA. RefSeq lists it as uncharacterized. The record is from RefSeq and is a predicted model, not a curated record. NCBI's taxonomy places the organism in Eukaryota, Metazoa, Arthropoda, Insecta, Coleoptera, Staphylinidae. The transcript has 2 exons.
UAAAGAUCUCUCUUAGCACUCACACUGCUAUCUAGCGAAUCACCACCACUGCUACAUUCAAACCUAAUGUGGUCACCCACCGCCAUCUCUCAACACCAGCAGCCACUAAAUGUCUCACAAGGAAGCCGUUGGGAGGGGAGCCACCCCACCACCCGAGGAAGAAUCGAGGCCUCAGCUAACAUGUCACUGACUCGUCCAUUCCGUUCGAAGCCAGCUUCCAGCGAAUACCGCAGCGAGCCUACUACCACUCGACGCACCACGCUACACCACGUUACGCCACGUCACACCACACCACGCCACACCACGCCACACCACGCUACACCACGCUACACCACGUCACGCCACGUCACACCACACCACGCUACACCACGUUGCACCACGUUACACUACUACACUACACCACACUACACCACACCACACUAUACACAAGGUACAUCUCGCAUCCACACACCUCCUAGGUUAUAGGCGGUCGACCACCCGAGCGACCGUGCCUUCGAGUGCGCCACCUGCUGGGAUCUAACCACAUCGACACCCGCACCGUCAAUUACAACGUCUCUCAUUGUCUCAGCAUCGGAAACCAGCCCAACACGCCUUACUAUUAAGCUUGAUCUGUAUUAUCACAAUCGCAGCUGAAUUUACUAAUACAAGUUUAUACA